AUACCGGGCCUUUUUGGGCUUGGUAAUUGGAAUGAGGGAGAGUUAAACGGACCAUCGAGUAUCCAUUGGAGGGCAUCUGGUGCCAGCAGCUGCGGUAAUACCAGCUCCAAUAGCGUAUAUUAAAGUUGUUGCAGUUAAAAAGCUCGUAGUUGGACUUGUGUGCGCUGUCCGCGGGUGGCCUGCGCCCAAAAGGGCGUUUCGGUUCGGCCCCGGUGGCGCCUUGAAAUCUGCAGCUGGGGGGACGUUGGCCUUAACUGGUCGGCGACCGCACGCCGGCUGCUCGGUUACUGUGAGAAAAUUAGAGUGUUCAAGGCAGGCAUUGGGUGCAAUUGAAUACAUUAGCAUGGAAUAAUAAAAUAUGGCUCCUGCCGUAUUUUGUUGGUUUUGACUGGUGGGAGUAAUGAUUGAUAGGGACGGUUGGGGGUGCUAGUAUUGAGCGGCCAGAGGUGAAAUUCAUGGAUUCGCUCAAGACUAACUUAUGCGAAAGCAUUCACCAAGGACGUCCUCUUUAAUCAAGAACGAAAGUUGGGGGAUCGAAGACGAUCAGAUACCGUCGUAGUCUCAACCAUAAACUAUGUCGACUUGGGAUCGGCGGUAGUUUUUUCAUUAAGACACUGUCGGGACCACGGGAGAAAUCAAAGUGUCUGGACUCUGGGGGAAGUAUGGUCGCAAGGCUGAAACUUGAAGGAAUUGACGGAAGGGCACCACCAGGAGUGGAGCCUGCGGCUUAAUUUGACCCAACACGGGGAAACUUACCAGGUCCAGAGAUGUAGAGGAUUGACAGAUUGAAGCUCUUUCUUGAUCACUUCGGUGGUGGUGCAUGGCCGUUCUUAGUUGGUGGAGUGAUUUGUCUGGUUAAUUCCGUUAACGAUCGAGACCUCAGCCUGCUAGUGUAGUCGGCUGGAUUGCCUUUGGCGAUCCGUGAUUUCGACUUCUUAGAGGGACAAUCGACGCGCAGUCGAUGGAAGUUUGAGGCAAUAACAGGUCUGUGAUGCCCUUAGAUGUUCUGGGCCGCACGCGCGCUACACUGCUGGGCUCAGCGAGUUUUACUUGGCCGAGAGGCCCGGUUAAUCUUGUGAAAUCCCAGCGUGCUUGGGCUCGCCUCCUGCAACUGGAGGCGCCAACGAGGAAUUCCUAGUAGACGCAGGUCAUCAACCUGCAUCGAUUACGUCCCUGCCCUUUGUACACACCGCCCGUCGUUCCAUAAGAGUGAGGCAUCCGGUGAAUUCUCGGGAGAGCCUGGGCGUGGCCAGCAAUGGUCUGCUCGGGUUUGAACUUGCAUAAACUUGGUGCCUAUGAUUAGGG
This 1305-nucleotide ribosomal RNA is filed under the name metagenome. Its description in RNAcentral is "SSU rRNA". It matches the Rfam family "Eukaryotic small subunit ribosomal RNA", at positions 483 to 1783 of the family's 1831-position model. The record is from RNAcentral.